UCUCGUUGGUGACCAGCGGAGGGUCAUUACUGAGUUACCGCUCUAUAACCCUUUGUGAACAUACCUUAACUGUUGCUUCGGCGGGUAGGAGUCCCCUAAAAAGGACGCCUCCCGGCCCUCCCGUCCGCGGGUGGGGCGCCCGCCGGAGGAUAACCAAACUCUGAUUUAACGACGUUUCUUCUGAGUGACACAAGUAAUAAUCAAAACUUUUAACAACGGAUCUCUUGGUUCUGGCAUCGAUGAAGAACGCAGCGAAAUGCGAUAAGUAAUGUGAAUUGCAGAAUUCAGUGAAUCAUCGAAUCUUUGAACGCACAUUGCGCCCGCCAGCAUUCUGGCGGGCAUGCCUGUUCGAGCGUCAUUUCAACCCUCAAGCUCUGCUUGGUUUUGGGGCCCUACGGUUGACGUAGGCCCUUAAAGGUAGUGGCGGACCCUCUCGGAGCCUCCUUUGCGUAGUAACAUUUCGUCUCGCAUUGGGAUUCGGAGGGACUCUUGCCGUAAAACCCCCAAUUUUUCUAAGGUUGACCUCGGAUCAGGUAGGAAUACCCGCUGAACUUAAGCAUAUCAAUAAGCGGAGGAAAAGAAACCAACAGGGAUUGCCCCAGUAACGGCGAGUGAAGCGGCAACAGCUCAAAUUUGAAAUCUGGCCCUAGGCCCGAGUUGUAAUUUGCAGAGGAUGCUUUUGGCGCGGUGCCUUCCGAGUUCCCUGGAACGGGACGCCAUAGAGGGUGAGAGCCCCGUACGGUUGGACACCAAGUCUUUGUAAAGCUCCUUCGACGAGUCGAGUAGUUUGGGAAUGCUGCUCAAAAUGGGAGGUAUAUUUCUUCUAAAGCUAAAUAUUGGCCAGAGACCGAUAGCGCACAAGUAGAGUGAUCGAAAGAUGAAAAGCACUUUGAAAAGAGGGUUAAACAGCACGUGAAAUUGUUAAAAGGGAAGCGCUUGUGACCAGACUUGCGUCCGGUGAAUCACCCAGCUCUCGCGGCUGGGGCAUUUUGCCGGCUCAGGCCAGCAUCAGCUCGCUGUCGGGGACAAAAGCUUCGGGAACGUAGCUCUCUUCGGGGAGUGUUAUAGCCCGUUGCAUAAUACCCUUCGGUGGGCUGAGGUACGCGCUCCGCAAGGAUGCUG
This 1122-nucleotide ribosomal RNA is filed under the name Colletotrichum sp. WF115. RNAcentral describes it as "eukaryotic LSU rRNA". The stretch from base 520 to 1122 matches the Rfam family "Eukaryotic large subunit ribosomal RNA", at positions 1 to 628 of the family's 3401-position model. The record is from RNAcentral. Lineage: Eukaryota; Fungi; Ascomycota; Sordariomycetes; Glomerellales; Glomerellaceae.